GUACCAGACUCCUACGGGAGGCAGCAGUGAGGAAUAUUGGUCAAUGGUCGGGAGACUGAACCAGCCAAGCCGCGUGAGGGAUGAAGGUACAGAGUAUCGUAAACCUCUUUUGUCAGGGAACAAAGGCGGGGACGCGUCCCCGGAUGAGUGUACCUGAAGAAAAAGCAUCGGCUAACUCCGUGCCAGCAGCCGCGGUAAUACGGAGGAUGCGAGCGUUAUCCGGAUUUAUUGGGUUUAAAGGGAGCGUAGGUGGAUUGUUAAGUCAGUUGUGAAAGUUUGCGGCUCAACCGUAAAAUUGCAGUUGAAACUGGCAGUCUUGAGUACAGUAGAGGUGGGCGGAAUUCGUGGUGUAGCGGUGAAAUGCAUAGAUAUCGCGCAGAACCCCGAUUGCGAAGGCAGCAUGCCGGCUUCCGACUGACGCUGAAGCACGAAAGCGUGGGGAUCGAACAGGAUUAGAUACCCUGGUA
This 467-nucleotide ribosomal RNA is filed under the name uncultured bacterium. RNAcentral's name for it is "bacterial SSU rRNA". It matches the Rfam family "Bacterial small subunit ribosomal RNA", at positions 328 to 792 of the family's 1533-position model. The record is from RNAcentral.